AUUGAACGCUGGCGGCAUGCUUUACACAUGCAAGUCGAACGGUAACAGGCCGCAAGGUGCUGACGAGUGGCGAACGGGUGAGUAAUGCAUCGGAACGUGCCCAGUCGUGGGGGAUAACGCAGCGAAAGCUGUGCUAAUACCGCAUACGAUCUAUGGAUGAAAGCGGGGGACCGUAAGGCCUCGCGCGAUUGGAGCGGCCGGUGUCAGAUUAGCUAGUUGGUGGGGUAAAGGCCCACCAAGGCGACGAUCUGUAGCUGGUCUGAGAGGACGACCAGCCACACUGGGUCUGAGACACGGCCCAGACUCCUACGGGAGGCAGCAGUGGGGAAUUUUGGACAAUGGGCGCAAGCCUGAUCCAGCAAUGCCGCGUGCAGGAAGAAGGCCUUCGGGUUGUAAACUGCUUUUGUACGGAACGAAACGGUCUGGGUUAAUACCCUGGGCUAAUGACGGUACCGUAAGAAUAAGCACCGGCUAACUACGUGCCAGCCGCCGCGGUAA
RNAcentral lists this ribosomal RNA (498 nucleotides) under uncultured bacterium. RNAcentral's name for it is "partial 16S ribosomal RNA". It matches the Rfam family "Bacterial small subunit ribosomal RNA", at positions 30 to 523 of the family's 1533-position model. The record is from RNAcentral.